UGGGGAAUUUUGGACAAUGGGCGAAAGCCUGAUCCAGCAAUGCCGCGUGUGUGAAGAAGGCCUUCGGGUUGUAAAGCACUUUUGUCCGGAAAGAAAUCCUUGGCUCUAGUACAGUCGGGGGAUGACGGUACCGGAAGAAUAAGCACCGGCUAACUACGUGCCAGCAGCCGCGGUAAUACGUAGGGUGCAAGCGUUAAUCGGAAUUACUGGGCGUAAAGCGUGCGCAGGCGGUUUGCUAAGACCGAUGUGAAAUCCCCGGGCUCAACCUGGGAACUGCAUUGGUGACUGGCAGGCUAGAGUAUGGCAGAGGGGGGUAGAAUUCCACGUGUAGCAGUGAAAUGCGUAGAGAUGUGGAGGAAUACCGAUGGCGAAGGCAGCCCCCUGGGCCAAUACUGACGCUCAUGCACGAAAGCGUGGGGAGCAAACAGGAUUAGAUACCCUGGUAGUCCACGCCCUAAACGAUGUCAACUAGUUGUUGGGGAUUCAUUUCCUUAGUAACGUAGCUAACGCGUGAAGUUGACCGCCU
RNAcentral lists this ribosomal RNA (526 nucleotides) under uncultured bacterium. RNAcentral's name for it is "partial 16S ribosomal RNA". It matches the Rfam family "Bacterial small subunit ribosomal RNA", at positions 355 to 874 of the family's 1533-position model. The record is from RNAcentral.